Molecule: long non-coding RNA, 1903 nt
Filed under: Zonotrichia albicollis (white-throated sparrow)
Lineage: Eukaryota; Metazoa; Chordata; Aves; Passeriformes; Passerellidae
Description: lncRNA (ENSZALG00000013116.1)
Source: RNAcentral
AUGCUCCAGUGUGUCACUUACUGGGGGGAGCCCAGCAAAUCCUCAGACACCCCCAGGACAGGGAAACCCUUCCUGAGCCACCAGCCCGGGGUCCUCACACCCAGGGGCUCCUGCACAGCCCAUCGUGUGCACCAGGACACGGCCCCCAGCAGGAGGGGACAAUCCCAAGGAGCCUUGGCCAGGCAGGAGCCUCAGGUGGGUCCUGGUGGGAUUGUUGUGCCCAGCUGGGCAAGGCCUGCUCCUGCUGAGAGCCAUGAGCAGCACUGUACUGUACUGUACUNAAUUUGUAUCUGUUUUUGUUCCUCAGGUUUUGGAAAACCAUGGGAGCAAAGGCAUUUCCCAGCCCUGCCCAAGAUGUGUUGCUGGAGAAUCUGGCCACUUCAGUCACAUCCUGGGCUCCUAGGACAGCAGAGGAGCAGCUCUGCCCUGGGCACCAUCCCUGCUCUGCACCCUGCCCAAAACCCUCUGCUCCUCAGGGAGCGCAGAAUUGUCCAAANGGAGGAGGGAGUGCAUGGAGGAGCACUGGGACAAGGUGCCAAUGUUCAGGGAACACACAAAUACCCUCUCCAGGGGUGUUCCCAUCACUGGGAUCACUUCUCCGUCUGUUUCCUGGGUUUAAUCACUCCUUCAGCACAAUUCCUUGGAUCAGCCCUAUGCCAAGUCCUGCUGGGGUGGAGGCUCAGAGAUGCCUUUGCCAGGGAUUGCAUGAUACUGGGCACACAGAGGUGUAAGACACAGAAUUCCUGCUCUUUGUGGGCACACAGAGGUGUGAGGUGCAGAAUUCCUGCUCCCAGGGGCACAGAGAGGUGUGACACACACAAUUCCUGCUCUUUGUGGGGCACUCAGAGGUGUGAGACACAGAAUUCCUGCUCUUUGUGGGGCUCACAGAGGUGUGACACAUAGAAUUCCUGCUCCCAGGGGCUCACAGAGAUAUGAGACACAGAAUUCCUGCACCCAGGGGCACACUGAGAGGUGUGAGGUGCAGAAUUCCUGCUUUUUGUGGGCACACAGAGGUGUGAGACGCAGAAUUCCUGCUCUUUGUGGGGCACAGAAAGGUGUGAGGUACAGAAUUCCUGCUCUUUGUGGGCACAGAGAGGUGUGAGACACAGAAUUCCUGCUCUUUGUGGGGCACAGAGAGGUGUGAGGUACAGAAUUCCUGCUUCCAGGAGCACACAAAGGUGUGAGGUGCAGAAUUCCUGCCAGGUACAGAAUUCCUGCACCCAGGGGCACACUGAGAGGUGUGAGGUGCAGAAUUCCUGCUCUUUGUGGGCACACAGAGGUGUGAGACACAGAAUUCCUGCUCCCAGGGGCUCACAGAGAUAUGAGGUACAGAAUUCCUGCUCCCAGGGGCAGAGAGGGGUGUGACACACACAAUUCCUGCUCUUUGUGGGGCACAGAAAGGUGUGAGGUACAGAAUUCCUGCUCCCAGGGGCUCAUAGAAAUAUGAGACACAGAAUUCCUGCUCCCAGAGGCACACAGAGGUGUGAGACACAGAAUUCCUGCACCCAGGGACACACUGAGAGGUGUGAGAGACAGAAUUCCUGCUCUUUGUGGGGCACACAGAGGUGUGAGACGCAGAAUUCCUGUUCUCCCAGCACGAGGGGCAGUGGGAACCCCAAACCUUGGGGCUCUGCCCUNAGCAAUGCUUGGCUCCUCCCUCUGGAUUAUAUCCGGGUAGCAAUGCUUGGCUCCUCCCUCUGGGCUCACAUCUCCCAAUGGGAUGCUGUCGUUCUUAUCAACCAUGCAGGGACAUUCAAUAGCUGUUAUCAGCAAUGUCCCCUCCCCAGGGAGGUGUGACUGUGGUCACUCAGAGAGAGAGACAAGGCAAACUGCCCACUGGGUCAUCUGCCAUACAGAUGGUGAUUGAAAACACCUUGCAUUGCAAUCUUCAACACAAAAUUUC